AUUGAACGCUGGCGGCAUGCCUUACACAUGCAAGUCGAACGGCAGCACGGGUGCUUGCACCUGGUGGCGAGUGGCGAACGGGUGAGUAAUACAUCGGAACAUGUCCUGUAGUGGGGGAUAGCCCGGCGAAAGCCGGAUUAAUACCGCAUACGAUCUACGGAUGAAAGCGGGGGACCUUCGGGCCUCGCGCUAUAGGGUUGGCCGAUGGCUGAUUAGCUAGUUGGUGGGGUAAAGGCCUACCAAGGCGACGAUCAGUAGGUGGUCUGAGAGGACGACCAGCCACACUGAGACUGAGACACGGCCCAGACUCCUACGGGAGGCAGCAGUGGGGAAUUUUGGACAAUGGGCGAAAGCCUGAUCCAGCAAUGCCGCGUGUGUGAAGAAGGCCUUCGGGUUGUAAAGCACUUUUGUCCGGAAAGAAAUCCUUGGCCCUAAUACGGUCGGGGGAUGACGGUACCGGAAGAAUAAGCACCGGCUAACUACGUG
RNAcentral lists this ribosomal RNA (486 nucleotides) under uncultured bacterium. RNAcentral describes it as "partial 16S ribosomal RNA". It matches the Rfam family "Bacterial small subunit ribosomal RNA", at positions 30 to 507 of the family's 1533-position model. The record is from RNAcentral.